GACGAACGCUGGCGGCGUGCCUAAUACAUGCAAGUUGAGCGAUGAAGAUUGGUGCUUGCACCAAUUUGAAGAGCAGCGAACGGGUGAGUAACGCGUGGGGAAUCUGCCUUUGAGCGGGGGACAACAUUUGGAAACGAAUGCUAAUACCGCAUAACAACUUUAAACAUAAGUUUUAAGUUUGAAAGAUGCAAUUGCAUCACUCAAAGAUGAUCCCGCGUUGUAUUAGCUAGUUGGUGAGGUAAAGGCUCACCAAGGCGAUGAUACAUAGCCGACCUGAGAGGGUGAUCGGCCACAUUGGGACUGAGACACGGCCCAAACUCCUACGGGAGGCAGCAGUAGGGAAUCUUCGGCAAUGGACGAAAGUCUGAGCGAGCAACGCCGCGUGAGUGAAGAAGGUUGUCGGAUCGUAAAACUCGGUUGGUAGAGAAGAACGUUGGUGAGAGUGGAAAGCUCAUCAAGUGACGGUAACUACCCAGAAAGGGACGGCUAACUACGUG
Molecule: ribosomal RNA, 497 nt
Filed under: uncultured bacterium
Lineage: Bacteria
Description: partial 16S ribosomal RNA
Rfam family: Bacterial small subunit ribosomal RNA
Source: RNAcentral